Molecule: ribosomal RNA, 253 nt
Filed under: uncultured prokaryote
Description: partial 16S ribosomal RNA
Rfam family: Bacterial small subunit ribosomal RNA
Source: RNAcentral
ACGAAGGGUGCAAGCGUUACUCAGAAUUACUGGGCGUAAAGGGUGCGUAGGUGGUUUUUUAAGUCUGCUGUGAAAUCCCCGGGCUCAACCUGGGAAUGGCAGUGGAUACUGGAAAGCUGGAGUGCGGUAGAGGAAGGUGGAAUUCCCGGUGUAGCGGUGAAAUGCGCAGAUAUCAGGAGGAACACCAAUGGCGAAGGCAGCACUCUGGGACGGUACUGACGCUGAGACGCGAAAGCGUGGGGAGCAAACAGGA